UCUCCGUAGGUGAACCUGCGGAGGGAUCAUUACUGAGUGAGGGCUUCGGUCCGACCUCCAACCCUUUGUGAACCAAACUUGUUGCUUCGGGGGCGACCCUGCCGCUUCGGCGGUGCGGCGCCCCCGGAGGCCAUUAAACACUGCAUCAUUGCGUCGGAGUUUAACACAAAUGAAACAAAACUUUCAACAACGGAUCUCUUGGUUCUGGCAUCGAUGAAGAACGCAGC
This 227-nucleotide unclassified non-coding RNA is filed under the name uncultured fungus. Its description in RNAcentral is "sequence contains ITS1, 5.8S rRNA gene". The stretch from base 179 to 227 matches the Rfam family "5.8S ribosomal RNA", at positions 1 to 49 of the family's 154-position model. Lineage: Eukaryota; Fungi. The record is from RNAcentral.